AAAAUAUUAUAUAAAUGUAAAAUGUUACCUGUAAUGUUUUGCUUUCAUUUGUUAGUCUACUUUAAAAAUCUAACAUGAUAUAAAUUAAAACCAUAAUCAUCUUUAAUGAGAUCGAAAAAAAUUGGGCAUUAAAAUUGAUAUUUUAGAAAACGAUAAGGACAAUUUAUGAAAGAUUUGUGUAAAAUUAUUAACUGCAACCCUUUUUUGUUUUACUAGUGGCACACACAGUCGUCGCCUCCAUAAUCAACCUCCGUUUCUCAAUCGCUUCUAACCAACAAAAUCAUCGGUCCGUCAUGUUUGACCGCCGGCGACGACCGUCAUAUUUGACCCCGGCGACGGCCACGACCUACAGAUUAUCCACCGAUUUUCAUUUGAUUUACAUGGCUUUCUCAAGAUCAACUGGUAUGUUUGAUUUUGAAGUAGAAAAGUUAAUUCGGCAAGAAUUUGUGUCGCGAUUCGAUUCAAAAUUCAUGUAUUGAUGAUGGAUGGAGACAACUUAUGAACACUUACAGGAUUAGUGUUAGUGUUGUUUAUCUUGUGGAUCGACAUCCAUGGAAAUAAUACAGAGCAUGCUUCUAAAAUCUAACAGUAUUUGGACCAAAGCAACUCAUAUCCAUGGCUUUCUUCAUUGAUUCCUCUUUUCCUCUCUUCACUCUGAAUUUACUAGUUGUAAUCACCGCCGACAAACAAUAAGAAAUUUUCGUAAGAGGUCUGUUCCACCGUGCAACACCUUGAUCUUUCAAUGCCUCAACCGAACCGAUGGUAGCGGCCACCACCCAAGAUUUCCUUACUGCAUCACUAAUCAUCCUCCCUCGUGUGUGAUUCCGUCGAUAGAAUCCGAUCGUGUUAGUGUGACUGUUUUGGUUUGGGAAUUGAGUGAAUGGGGUAUAAAUGGAGGGAGAGGGAGAUGCGCAUCAUGUGUUCGACGAAAUGACAAAAUGAAAAAUGCAGCUUUCAUGUCUUGUGGGUUGCUCCCACUUAGCCUUGGAAUUAAAGUUGAUUAAGUGAUCCAUGGAUUCUCUAUUGUGUUGUAUAUGUUUAUAUUCUCAUGUGAGUUAAUUUUCAAAUAAGACACUAGUAAAGAUGUUUAUUUUUUAUUAUGUAUAUAAAACAAAUUGUAACUAAUGUAUUGUACUUUUGAUGAAUGGGUUGAUCAUUAAAUUAA
Long non-coding RNA from Lactuca sativa (garden lettuce), 1165 nucleotides. RefSeq lists it as uncharacterized. NCBI's taxonomy places the organism in Eukaryota, Viridiplantae, Streptophyta, Magnoliopsida, Asterales, Asteraceae. The record is from RefSeq and is a predicted model, not a curated record.